RNAcentral lists this long non-coding RNA (423 nucleotides) under Elaeis guineensis (African oil palm). RNAcentral describes it as "long non-coding RNA (EGUI_LNC021196)". Lineage: Eukaryota; Viridiplantae; Streptophyta; Magnoliopsida; Arecales; Arecaceae. The record is from RNAcentral.
CCGUGGAGUCACCAGAGAGGUAGGAAAUGGGUAUAUCUGCACUUCGUAGGGGAAGAAGCAUGAGGCCCCCUCUAGUGAGCUUUAAUCGAGCACCCUCGGCAAUUGGCUCGUCGUUGCGGUUUGCCGUCCAUAUGACGGUCUUAUCUGAGACAAGCCAUGCUCCAACGGCAAAGCCGCUGCCUGCUGCCGCUGCGAAAAAUCCAAAGGCGAACAUGCGGGACUGGGACAGCCAGGGACUGGUGUUGGUGGCGAUCCAAUCAUCCAAACUUAUUGCAGGUCCUUGCUGGCCUACUCCGAGCGCCAUUGCAUAUGCGAAGAUGAAGAUCACGGAGGCCAACUUUGAAAUCAUUGGGGUGUGAAGAAGGGAGAGUGGGGAUUCACUGAGCUGGGGAUGCUCUUGUGCGCACCAAUGAUUGUUUGAAG